GGCAAUUAAAUUGUCACGGUAGCCAUGAGUGGAGUGAAGUAUUGCUGUGGAGUAGGAGGUGCUUUCACUGAGAAUGCACGCUUUGAGCCUCAGAGAAUCUCCUGAAUGCUUCCCAAGAGUCACGAAACGUGCCUUGGAAUGACCGGCAACAAAGCAGCCUGGAUCGCGCAUGCCGGAAUAAAGCUUUGUCUCAACAAACGGUGGCAGCAGCUCAUUUUUGCCAGGAGGGCUGAAGGAUACUGGGAGAGGGCCCUCGUUCUCCCUCAUGCCAGCCUCGGAACCGAAGAAAACACUGGAGCCCUGAACAGAGGUCCUGGAAAGCCUGCUGCCAGAUAACCUACCCAGUGAUGAUAGAGGCCUGCUUCAUACAGAGCUAUGGGUAUCCUUCACGCAUCUUUCUGAGGGCUGGGGAGGGAGUUUCCUUUGUGCACAGGUCAGAAGGCUGCCUGAGGAAGGGAAUUAGGUUCAAAGUUACAAUUAAGCUGUAUAUUGAUCAUUAACUCUGAAGUUAAACUGCCUUGCUUUCUCCCUCAGAUUCAUUGCAGCAUUUUGGCUGGGACUCUUCUCUUUAACUGUGGCAGAGGCAGCAGAAUCUUUUGGCACUAUUAGAAGGUUCAUUUAUUUAAAGAAGAAAAUGAGACACAGAAUUUUCCUUCAAAGAAAUCAGCUUAGUGAAAUCCAGGGAAGAGAAGAAGCAGUGAGCUUUUACAAAGGACACCAUGAAAAUAGUCUUAAAUAAUUCUUUGAUUGAGUCCUACAUAAUAUGUUAUUUAGAAUUAAAAACAAUUUCACGGGGAACCUGUAUUUUCACAGUACUGAACACAUAUGAAUGUGGGAUGUCGAGCUGGGGAAGAGGGCGCAAAUCUUCUUCCCCUCUCCCACUAUCAGGGGGAAGCCAACAGAAAUGCAAAGCAAAAAAAAAAAAGAGCUAAAAGCCUAAGAAAACAUUUUUCUGGCUUGCCAGUCACACAAGUCUCUGAGCCUUUAUUUUGAAAGAAAUGGCUUGUGUUGAGUCUUCCUUGAUAGAGAAAUUAGAGGGUGAAAGUGAACCGUCAACCUGGAAAAAGACAGGGUCCCUUUAAGCAGUCAAAAAGAAAAAGGUUCAAUUUCUGAACUCAAGAGAUAACUGUGUGCCAGGGCCUCUGGGUAACAUUAAGAUAUGAUCACUUGCUGGGAACAAAUGUUUUCAUCUCCCCCCUUUUAUGUAUUUGGCAAUACUUGUAACGCUGACUCCCUAGUUGCUAUUUCUUUGUUCAGUUUUUCCUUUUGCCUCAGAACUUUAUCACACACCACCCUCCCCUCUGAUAAAUCUUGGCAUAAAAUUCUUGGCAUCUUG
This 1336-nucleotide long non-coding RNA is filed under the name Monodelphis domestica (gray short-tailed opossum). Its description in RNAcentral is "lncRNA (ENSMODG00000039815.1)". Lineage: Eukaryota; Metazoa; Chordata; Mammalia; Didelphimorphia; Didelphidae. The record is from RNAcentral.